This 238-nucleotide ribosomal RNA is filed under the name uncultured bacterium. RNAcentral describes it as "partial 16S ribosomal RNA". It matches the Rfam family "Bacterial small subunit ribosomal RNA", at positions 100 to 334 of the family's 1533-position model. The record is from RNAcentral.
CGGCACGGGUGAGCAACACGUAUCCAACCUGCCGUCUACUCUUGGCCAGCCUUCUGAAAGGAAGAUUAAUCCAGGAUGGCAUCAUGAGUUCACAUGUCCGCAUGAUUAAAGGUAUUUUCCGGUAGACGAUGGGGAUGCGUUCCAUUAGAUAGUAGGCGGGGUAACGGCCCACCUAGUCAACGAUGGAUAGGGGUUCUGAGGGGAAGGUCCCCCACAUUGGAACUGAGACACGGUCCAA